AACGAACGCUGGCGGCAUGCCUAACACAUGCAAGUCGAACGAAGGCUUCGGCCUUAGUGGCGCACGGGUGCGUAACGCGUGGGAAUCUGCCCUUUGGUUCGGAAUAACAGCUGGAAACGGCUGCUAAUACCGGAUGAUGACGAAAGUCCAAAGAUUUAUCGCCAGAGGAUGAGCCCGCGUUGGAUUAGGUAGUUGGUGGGGUAAAGGCCUACCAAGCCGACGAUCCAUAGCUGGUCUGAGAGGAUGAUCAGCCACACUGGGACUGAGACACGGCCCAGACUCCUACGGGAGGCAGCAGUGGGGAAUAUUGGACAAGGGGCGCAAGCCUGAUCAAGCAAUGCCGCGUGAGUGAUGAAGGCCCUAGGGUUGUAAAGCUCUUUUACCCGGGAAGAUAAUGACUGUACCGGGAGAAUAAGCCCCGGCUAACUCCGUG
This 433-nucleotide ribosomal RNA is filed under the name uncultured bacterium. RNAcentral's name for it is "partial 16S ribosomal RNA". It matches the Rfam family "Bacterial small subunit ribosomal RNA", at positions 29 to 507 of the family's 1533-position model. The record is from RNAcentral.